UUCCUUUUCCCUUUGUUCUACAUCAAGUAGAGCCCUCCAAUUGAAUUUCAUAACACUUGAAGGUGCUGUUUGUGAAUGCCUGGUUAUAUAAGCUGUCAAAUAUUCCAAGACAAACAACCUUUCCCACCAUAGUCCGUAGAUAAAAAUACAAAACUCAGCCCUUUAAAAUGUGAGCAUUAUUUAUCCAACUAUAUGCUCCAUAUUACUGCAAAGAAAGUGCAAUUUUAAAGAACUAUGUAUUCCUUUCAACCACUAAAAGUCUUCCAUUUUGAACCAAUAGGUAUCUGCCACGUGUUCAAGUGGCCCAAAGAAAUGAUUUGAGAUGGCCCUAGCCAACUCACAGUGUGAAAACAAACAAAAAUGAAACUCACUACGUAUACAACAUGUGGCACAGAGAUCCAGAGAUAAAGUCUCAUUAUAAUGUCUUCCAAUCAUUAUUAUUCAUCUUUUGAACAACAGCAGACUAAACAAAAGCCCUGAUGUUUAGAGGCCCUUAAGCCUUCCACAACAUAUGCUGGUAGCUUAUCAUCUUAAAGGUUAUGUUAUAUUAAAUUCCUAGCUCCGCAACAUAUUUCCCUCUGACUUUCCUAACAGACACUUGAACUAAUACUUUCUGUGAAUCACUUGAAUCAUUUUACUUUAUAUCUACAUUACGAAAAAAUGAAUUUUCUAGUGUAGCAACCUUCCUAUAUUGCUUAUAGGAGCCUUUAAAACUUAGUUAUAAGUUGUUACUUUGAGCCUGCGCGGUAGAUCAUAUGACUGCUAGGAUCUUAGGAAAGUCAUAGAAGCAGGGUGGAAAAUUUUCAGGAGGCUAUUACCUGUUUAGUUGGAUAUUUCCAUAUUUGUUUUAACAGAUAUUUCUGAUGUCUUUUCCUCCAUGCAAGUCAAUAACUCAAUAUUGUAGAGCAUGAGUUUUCAAAUAGAGUAUGCAUGUUCAGAAACUCCCUGAACAGUGAACAGGACCAAUUUCUGUUGUUUUUAACUUAUUUCCCCCUUUUACCAUUGACUUAUUUGACCCUAAUUUCCAAGGCACUAGAGCCCCAAAAUUAAGUCUUGUCACACAAUCAUUGUAGUUUGGGUCUAAUCUCCGUAUUUUAGGUUGUCACUGUCAAAUUCUUGAUAAAAUGAAGAUUUAUUUGCAUAGGCUUUGCUCUAUCUUGUUUUGUUACUUAAUGGGCAAUGUUGGCAGCACCUAUGCAAUUGGAUUAAGCUCAUUGGCACCAAGUCCUAAUAGGUCAUAGAUAGAUGAUUCUGAAAGUUACAUCAAUCACUCGAACCUGGUUCUGCCUAUUUACAUUGUUUCACAAUGGGAGGAUAGUAAAUAAAUGCAUCAUUUAGUGGCUGGCAUCUUGUAGAUUGUUGUUGAAAUGAGAUAAAGUAGUUUCCUUGUAAAACUUAUCACAUGUUUGAAGCAAAGAAUAUGAAAUAACUUUUUAAACAAGGGAGUUCUCUUAGAACUUCCCCUCCUUUUGCAAUGAUGUCCUUCUAUUGGAUUGAGGCUCUUGUCACUCAAUGGCAUCCAAAUAGUUAGUACAUCCAUAGGAAGGUAAAAGGAUAGGUUCUCAUUGAAAACCUGUAUAAUGUGGCAGAGUUGCACGUUGAUCAUCAAAUUGUACCCUUCACUAUGCAACUUGAGCCUUUGGAAAAUUUUCAUUCAUUCUGAAUUUUUUUCUUUAUCUUUUUCUCCCUUCUUCCUUUCGCAGUUGAAGUGUUUAAUUGAUAUAGCAGCAUGUACCAAAUGAAAGAGAUUGUUCUUUCCUCACAUAGCACCUAAUGUGAAUUUGCAGCAAACCAUCUCAGCAGGUGAUACUAGAUUAUGACUAUACAUUCACGACACCGUAUUGUGGAAGUGAAACAAUUGAGGUAGACUCGAAGAAGGUUCGUCUUGUUCUUCAUCUACUAUUUAGCAAACUUUUUUCUCCCAACUGUGCAGUUGGAACAGAUUAACAGAAUUAGUGGAAUGUCCAAGCAGUAAAGUGAUCUAGGUUUGAGCAUUGUUCAGUUUAAACAGAAAAAUGAAACUGAACCAAUGCUUUUCAGUUAGGUUUGGUUUUGGUUUUUUAAAAUUCUUUGUUGAUUUGGAUCGUUUCAAUUAUUAAUUGAAUCGAACCAUGUAUAUUUAUAUAUUUUUUUAUCUAAAUAUUAUGCAUAAAUAACUGAUGAACUGAACCAAAUUAUUUUGGUUUUUGGCUUGAUUCGUAAUUGCUUUGCCUUAGCACUUCAUGUAAAGGUUAUGCAAUAACUUGGCUAAAAUUAGAGAGUUACACAAGACUCCCUACUUUGCACUUCUUUAUCUCUGGUUCCUUGCCAGGAUAUGGUCAGGCUUUUCUUAAAUGUGAACAGGGCUGAUAUAGAAUUUAGAAUCUGGUGUUUUUGUUAUUGUUGCCUGUAUAGUUUAUUUUUAUUUUAGAAAAUGUUGCUACCACCCUUUGUCUUGUGGUCAGAAUGAAAGUGAGGAUAUCUUGGAGACAAGCUCAAGCAUCUGUUGGGAGGAAUGCAAGGGGCAAAUUGAUGUGGUUUCCCUUGCAUCAAAAGAACCUAUUCUUUUCUAUGAUGAGGUAGCCAACUUAUAUUGGACUAUGAUGAGGUAGUCAUCAUAAAGUUCCAUUUUUAUAUCCUUAGUGUAUAUGCGCCUGCCAUGAUAAGAGUAGUCUUUUUAACACCACAGGUAGUCUUGUAUGAAGAUGAGCUUGCUGAUAAUGGAGAGUCGCUUUUAACUGUUAAAGUGGUAAAUGCUAAUUUUUAAUGGAUGUAAUGCUAGAUACACUUCCUUAUAUCUGUGUAUUGAGGACAUUCACUUUUUUAUUUUGCAGAGAGUCAUGCCUAGUUGAUGGUUUCUUCUUUUGCGGUUCUGGCUUAGAGUUGACGGAGUCUUGAUGAGAUUAAGGGACACUCGCAUGCAUUGCACGUUUGGAGACAGCACUAACCCUGUCAUCCUUCGAGGGAGCUGCUGGAGAGAAGUAUCUCUGCUGUAAGCACUUUGUGGACACACUUGCAUUGUUGCACACAAUUCGUUUAAUAGGCUAGCAUGUUCCUGUCCAUGCUUGCAUGCAUAAGUGUGUAUACGAUGGAUGAGCUGUCUUCUUACCUUUCCUGUGUCCUACUCUGCUGAGGAUUUCUUCUGCUGAUUUUCUUGCUUUUAGGAUUCAAAACCAAAAAGAUGCUUGUUUCGCUACUUUUGGCACUUUCAUGGAAUUAUUACAUGGUUAGUUGUAUAAAGAUAUGGUCGAAUGAUCUAGAUUUGUACUGUUUUUGGUCAAUUUCAGUAAAUUGGCUAAAGUUGUUACCAACAUCAUAUGAUUCAGCUAAAAUUGAUAAAAUUUAAAGGAUUCUCUAAAAUUGAAAAUAUUUACAGAGUUUGGAAAUUUUAUGGCCAUUUGGCCUAAAGAUCUUAGUACUUAAAAUAGCUUCUAAAAUGGAUACAAUUGUGUCUAAAGGGGGAAGUGGAAGGGGA
Molecule: unclassified non-coding RNA, 3454 nt
Filed under: Hevea brasiliensis (rubber tree)
Lineage: Eukaryota; Viridiplantae; Streptophyta; Magnoliopsida; Malpighiales; Euphorbiaceae
Source: RNAcentral